Molecule: transfer RNA, 73 nt
Filed under: Alligator mississippiensis (American alligator)
Lineage: Eukaryota; Metazoa; Chordata; Crocodylia; Alligatoridae
Rfam family: tRNA
About the family: Transfer RNA (tRNA) molecules are approximately 80 nucleotides in length. Their secondary structure includes four short double-helical elements and three loops (D, anti-codon, and T loops).
Source: Rfam by way of RNAcentral
GGGGAAUUAGCUCAGAUGGUAGAGCACUCACUUUGCAUGUGAGAGGCAGUGGGAUUAGUGCCCACAUUCUCCA